Molecule: ribosomal RNA, 497 nt
Filed under: uncultured bacterium
Lineage: Bacteria
Description: partial 16S ribosomal RNA
Rfam family: Bacterial small subunit ribosomal RNA
Source: RNAcentral
GAUGAACGCUGGCGGCGUGCCUAAUACAUGCAAGUCGAGCGGACAGACGAGGAGCUUGCUGCUCUGACGUUAGCGGCGGAGGGGUGUGAAACACGUGGAUAACCUACCUAUCAGACGGGGAAAACCAGGGGACAGCGGAGAUAAUACGGGAUAAGAUAUUGAACCGCGGGGGGCGAUAGUGAAAGACGGCUUUGCUGGCACGUAUAGCUGGAUCCGCGCCGCAUUGGCUAGUUGGUAAGGUAACGGCUUAUCAAGGCGACCAUGCGUGUCCGACCUGAGGGGGUGAUCGGCCACACUAGAACGUAGACACGGUCCAUACUCCUACGGGACGCAGCAGUAGGGAAUCUUCCGCAAUGGUCGAAAGCCUGACGCAGCAACGCCGCGUGAGUGAUGAAGGUCUUCGGUUCGUAAAACUCUCUUAUUAGUUAAGAACAAAUGUGUAAGUAACUAUGCACGUCUUGACGGUACCUAAUCAGAAAGCCACGGCUAACUACGUG